AACGCUAGCGGCAGGCUUAACACAUGCAAGUCGAGGGGCAACACGGGUAGCAAUACCUGGUGGCGACCGGCGCAAGGGUGCGUAACGCGUGAGCAACAUGCCCUAUACAGGGGGAUAAUCCAGGGAAACUUGGUCUAAUAUCCCAUAGUAUUUAGAGGAGGCAUCUUCUAUAAAUUAAAGCUUCGGUGGUAUAGGAUUGGCUCGCGUGACAUUAGCUAGAUGGUGAGGUAACGGCUCACCAUGGCAAUGAUGUCUAGGGGUUCUGAGAGGAAGGCCCCCCACACUGGGACUGAGACACGGCCCAGACUCCUACGGGAGGCAGCAGUGAGGAAUAUUGGACAAUGGAUGGAAAUCUGAUCCAGCCAUGCCGCGUGCAGGAAGACAGCCCUAUGGGUUGUAAACUGCUUUUAUAUGGGAGCAAUAAGGUCUACGUGUAGACUGAUGAGAGUACCAUAUGAAUAAGCAUCGGCUAACUCCGUG
RNAcentral lists this ribosomal RNA (480 nucleotides) under uncultured bacterium. RNAcentral describes it as "bacterial SSU rRNA". It matches the Rfam family "Bacterial small subunit ribosomal RNA", at positions 32 to 507 of the family's 1533-position model. The record is from RNAcentral.